This is a long non-coding RNA of Mytilus trossulus (common blue mussel), 365 nucleotides long. RefSeq lists it as uncharacterized. The record is from RefSeq and is a predicted model, not a curated record. Lineage: Eukaryota; Metazoa; Mollusca; Bivalvia; Mytilida; Mytilidae. The transcript is spliced from 3 exons.
UAUAUUGGUGAAAUGUAAAUUGGUUGAACGGAAGUCUUUGUCUACGCGGAUCUACACGAAGAUUUAGUUACGAGAAAAGAAAAUGGUGGAAGGCACUUGCCAUGAUAACAGAGCUAUGGAAUAAAAUCUGCAGACAAAGACAACACUCUUGAAGAGAAAGAUGGAAUUAUUGAGAAGGUCACGACAUUGUCGUCCAUUCAUUUGUGAUACCUGUGGACAAGGGUUUAAACAUAAUCACCAUAUGAAGGAACACAUGAGGAUUCAUACGGGAGAAAAGCCAUACCAAUGCAAACACUGUUUCAAACGUUUCAGUCACUCUGGCUCAUUCAGUCAACACAAAAAUAAUACUUGUAUACAGUCAAGAA